GGCUCAGGAUGAACGCUGGCGGCGUGCCUAAUACAUGCAAGUCGAGCGAAUGGAUUAAGAGCUUGCUCUUAUGAAGUUAGCGGCGGACGGGUGAGUAACACGUGGGUAACCUGCCCAUAAGACUGGGAUAACUCCGGGAAACCGGGGCUAAUACCGGAUAACAUUUUGCACCGCAUGGUGCGAAAUUCAAAGGCGGCUUCGGCUGUCACUUAUGGAUGGACCCGCGUCGCAUUAGCUAGUUGGUGAGGUAACGGCUCACCAAGGCAACGAUGCGUAGCCGACCUGAGAGGGUGAUCGGCCACACUGGGACUGAGACACGGCCCAGACUCCUACGGGAGGCAGCAGUAGGGAAUCUUCCGCAAUGGACGAAAGUCUGACGGAGCAACGCCGCGUGAGUGAUGAAGGCUUUCGGGUCGUAAAACUCUGUUGUUAGGGAAGAACAAGUGCUAGUUGANNNAGCUGGCACCUUGACGGUACCUAACCAGAAAGCCACGGCUAACUACGUGCCAG
RNAcentral lists this ribosomal RNA (510 nucleotides) under Bacillus samanii. RNAcentral describes it as "bacterial SSU rRNA". It matches the Rfam family "Bacterial small subunit ribosomal RNA", at positions 21 to 511 of the family's 1533-position model. The record is from RNAcentral. Lineage: Bacteria; Bacillati; Bacillota; Bacilli; Caryophanales; Bacillaceae.